UAGGGAAUAUUGGGCAAUGGGCGCAAGCCUGACCCAGCAACGCCGCGUGCACGAUGAAGGCCUUCGGGUUGUAAAGUGCUUUUCGGGGAGACGAGCAAGGACGGUAUCCCCGGAAGAAGGAUCGGCUAACUACGUGCCAGCAGCCGCGGUAAAACGUAGGAUCCGAGCGUUAUCCGAAUUCACUGGGCGUAAAGCGCGUGCAGGCGGCUCGCUAAGUUGGAUAUGAAAGCUCCUGGCUCAACUGGGAGAGGCUGUUCAAUACUGGCGGGCUCGAGGACGGUAGAGGGAGGUGGAAUUCCCGGUGUAGUGGUGAAAUGCGUAGAUAUCGGGAGGAACACCAGUGGCGAAGGCGGCCUCCUGGACCGUUCCUGACGCUCAGACGCGAAAGCUAGGGGAGCGAACGG
RNAcentral lists this ribosomal RNA (404 nucleotides) under uncultured bacterium. RNAcentral's name for it is "bacterial SSU rRNA". It matches the Rfam family "Bacterial small subunit ribosomal RNA", at positions 355 to 775 of the family's 1533-position model. The record is from RNAcentral.